This 253-nucleotide ribosomal RNA is filed under the name uncultured Sphingomonadaceae bacterium. Its description in RNAcentral is "partial 16S ribosomal RNA". It matches the Rfam family "Bacterial small subunit ribosomal RNA", at positions 524 to 776 of the family's 1533-position model. The record is from RNAcentral. Lineage: Bacteria; Pseudomonadati; Pseudomonadota; Alphaproteobacteria; Sphingomonadales; Sphingomonadaceae.
UACGGAGGGAGCUAGCGUUGUUCGGAAUUACUGGGCGUAAAGCGCGCGUAGGCGGUUUUUUAAGUCAGAGGUGAAAGCCUGGAGCUCAACUCCAGAACUGCCCUUGAAACUGGAAAACUUGAAUCUUGGAGAGGUCAGUGGAAUUCCGAGUGUAGAGGUGAAAUUCGUAGAUAUUCGGAGGAACACCAGUGGCGAAGGCGACUGACUGGACAAGCAUUGACGCUGAGGUGCGAAAGCGUGGGGAGCAAACAGG